RNA transcript from Centropristis striata (black sea bass), 5794 nucleotides. It is a transcript of the gene named sodium channel, voltage-gated, type II, beta, with no coding region annotated. The record is from RefSeq and is a predicted model, not a curated record. The transcript is spliced from 6 exons. NCBI's taxonomy places the organism in Eukaryota, Metazoa, Chordata, Actinopteri, Perciformes, Serranidae.
CCUGCCUCUAAAACAAAACAAAAAAUACAGGAUUUUUUUAAGCAUUUUAUCGCCCACACCAAGAGCAGACUUGCAGUUCUUUUUCUAACUUCGUUUUUUUCUAGAGAUAAAAGCGUCGUUUUUGUAAUAAGAAGGAGAGAAAAUGUCUUCCCCCGCGCUGGAGAGGAGCUGUGGCGUUCAGCUGGUGAGCGCGGCGCUGCUGCUGCUCUCGCUCUCCGGAUGUUUAUGCAUGGAUGUGAUCAUACCCAAUAGCAUUAACGCACUGAAUGGAACAACUAUCAAAAUCCCAUGCACAUUUACUUCGUGCUAUAAGAUGGAUGCCACCAAGUUUGCUAUGAACUGGACCUACCAAGAGACAUUGAAUGAUACAGAAGAUAUGUUCAUGACGUACCAUAAGAAAAGAGGAAUGGUGCCUCUGCGCUCAGACCGGUUUGGAGAUAGGGUCAUGUUUGCCGGGAACCUGGAUAAGAACGACCUGUCAAUCACUCUAUCAGAUGUUCAGAUCGAGGAUGAAGGCAUUUACAACUGCUAUGUGAGAAACCCCCCAGACCGCAUCCAGGGCCAUGGUGUCUUAAAGCUCAAUGUUGUUACCGAACUUCCCCCUCCGAGGGACUCAACCAUUGCAGUUGCAAUCGGGGCAUCGGUGGGCGGAGCGUUAGCUCUGCUCAUUCUUUCCAUGGUAGUAGUGAAAUGUCUUCGUCGACACAGGAAACAGGAACUGAUUUCAGAGGAGAAGAUGGAGGAGGAGGGAAAACUGGAGGCUGAAGGUGUUGCGGAGGAGGGAACCAAACAACCAUAGCUGGGUCAGAACCAGUGGCCUGUAGAGCCCUCACCCCCCACACCUCCUCUGACAUGUGCACUCCCUUCCUGAAGAUCUAUAGUAACUACUGCUCGAAUCAUCCUCCACUGAUACUUCCAUCCCUUCUGCACCUGUGUGUUUGUGGGCGCGAGUGCGCGCAUGUGUGUGUGUGUGUGUGUGUGUGUGUGUGUGUGUGUGUGUGUGUGCCAGUGCGCACAAGUGUGCUUCUUUGUGUGUGCGUAUUUCUAUAUGUCUGUGUGAAAAGCCAGGGAACACUUUUCUGGAACUUAACUGCUAAACACACAUUACUUUAUUCAUAGCUACCAGUCUAUAUGGCAUUUUCAUACUGGCUAGGGCUGGGCGGUAUCACCUAAAAUGUAUUCCACAAUAAAGUUUGAACUAGGGAUGGGAAUAAACAAUUGAUGAUAAAUUAAUGGUCCUUAAGAAUUUGGUCGAUCACGUGAAAUUAUUAAUUGAUCCGUGUAUUUUUAAUUUUAAUUUAGUUCUGCAGCCAUACGUGAAUAAGCCAAUGAGCUGAGAAUUAAGUUGGAUAAAGUUACAGUCAUAAUUAUAAAACACAGAAUUACAAGAGUAUUAAUUUGAGCAAAACUAGCUUACUGCAUCAAACCUUGCUAGCAUGAAUUACUAGAUUUAAUUUUAUCCAAAACUUAUUUAAACACAAAACACACAAAUAUGCAAGAUUACUGUGAAAACUAACCUCAUGCAUCUUCGGGGGCUAAAACAUAAAACAUUGAACUCCUUGACGUUAUCUUUACAGUUUAAUCUCACCUGAGUUAGUUUUACGAUUGACAGGAAGACUCUUGUCGUCCUUUCAAAAUAAAAGCGUCCAUUAUCAAAACAGGCUUUUUGCAUCGUACUGUAUAUAUAUCUUUUAUUUUUGUCCAUGAAUGCAUGUUUUAAUACAUACUGGAGUAUGUAUAAACACAUGUCGAUAAAUUCAUCUUUAAUGUUAUAGAUGCUUGAGUUGGCAGGUUUUUUCCAAACGCCCAUCCUUAGUUUGAACAUGGAACGGAAACAACAUCACAGCAUCACAAUGUCUUAUUUUAUUGUCAUUAAUUGACUAUUAAUGAACGUUAUCAGCGGUUGUAGCGGUAGAGCUGCAUACUUGAUGGAAGGUAAAAGCUUCACAUUGCAAAUCGAACGUUGAGUGUUUAACUGUUGUGUCACGGUACAUUAAAAAGUCAGCUCGAUUCAAAACAGCUGCAGUCCAAAUUUAACAAGGUGAAAUAUUUUGGUUUAACAUACUGUAAAUCCAGUGUCUUUCAACAUUGCCUUAAAGCCGUGUAUCUCAGCUGCCCGUACAGUCGCCAGGUCUUAACAUAGUGCCUGCGUAAUGUACUUUCUAAUCAUAAAUGACAUCUACUAUUUAUGUGUUAAUGAUGAACCAGAGAGCACUCACAAAUAGACCUUUUUUGUUUCGCAGCAGACAUUUUGACUUGUCAUCGCAGGAGAAAAAGAGGUGUUACUACAAUGCGAGAACAUUAACAAUGGCUCUGUUCUAUUCAAGUGUCCCAGUAAGUCACGGUAGUAGCUGUGUCCAAAAUCAUUCCCUAUUUACUAUAUAGUGCACUGUGUGUGAAUUUUGAGUGUGUAAUAUGUGUGCACUAUAAAGGGCUCUCAGAAAUAAAAUAAAAAAGUACACACAAUGCACAAUACAAUGCAUUUUGAAGAUGUGAAAUUACAGUCCCAUGACAUUACUCACCCGUCACACAAAACAAUAAAGUGUCUGAAAUUUCUAUUUACUCCUCACUAUAGUGAAUGGGUGAUUUUAGACAGAGCCAGUGUGACAGUAAGUGAGCCAGCAUGAACAAUACCAGCACCCUGAAACUGAAGCACCUAAAUGGAAUUCAGCCAGUGAUGGAAAGUAACUAAGUACAUUUACUCAAGUAAUGUACUUUUUGAGCUACUUACAAUUUUGAGGUACUUGUAUUUCCAUUUUACGUAACUUUAUACUUCUACUUCCCUACAUUUUUAGGCAAAUAUUGUACUUUCUACUCCAAUGCAUUAAGCUGCCAGCUUUAGUUACUUUUCAGGUCAAGAUUUUAAAAAAGUAUAAAACAAUCAAUUUAAAGUGAUUUGACUUUUUUAUUGAAUCUAAUAACAGUAUAUUAAGUAGUUAAAUGAGCCCUGUUUUUACAAAAUGAAAACACUGCUUAUAUAAAAGCAUCAAUACAAAUAACCUUAGAAUAUAUUUGGAGUAUAUAAAUCAAAAUGAGUGGGGCCAUUCUGCAUAACGAGUAAUUUUACUUUUGAUAAUUUAAAUACAUUUUGAUGCUGAUACUUUUGUACUUUUACUUAAGUAAAUUUCGAAUGCAGGACUUUUACUUGUAGUGGAGUAAUUUCACAGUGUGGUAUUUACUUAAGUAAAGGAUCUGAAUACUUUUUCCACCACUGAAUUCAGCCAUUAUUAAUGUUAUUUACAACAGUUUUUUUUUCUUUCAGUGAAACGUCAAAAUGUCCUCUGUGAAAAAGAACAAGUUUUCCAAUAUUUUUUCAUCUUUAGGUCCUGCCUCUGUCUUCUGUUUUUCCUUUAUUUCUUCAUCCACUUUUUGUUAGCAUGCAAAAAGUGCGAAAGUAAAAGCAUAAGAUUAUAUUUUUAUUGGUCUGUUAGUGGCUAGUGCCUAAAUGAACAACAGUACUCAUUAAGAUUCAGUGAGUUGCAGUGAUGCUUUUGGAGUACUUAAAAUCAUUGUGUACUAAUACUAACAGCAUAGCAAAAUCUUUGUUUCUACUUUAUCAUUAUUAUUGUCAUUACUGGUUAUACCGUCCACCCCUAUAACAGAAACUUCUCCAUCCAUCCAGCCUCGUCUAGGAGAAUGAUAUGCGAGUGUGCCUGGACACAGAGAGAGAGUCUAGCAGCAGGCACAGAUUUCCGUUCAGUCUGAUAUUUACAGGGUUAAAUUGAGCCGUAAUAUUAGUCCACACAACACUUACAAUAUCGGACUGCAAUAUAUUGUGCAAUUAUUUGCACACACUGCAUAGGGGGAAUUGUCAGUGGCAGUGUUGAGCUUUUCUCUUAGAAUUCUUCCCUUCAAUACAAAUAGAGCCAGCACUGGAAAAUGAGUAUGUUGAGGAACUGAUGUGAAUUAUUGUUGGCUUCAUGACAGCAUUUUUAUCAAAGUCAAACAUAUCAAAGAUAAUUUAAAAGUGGGAAAACUCACAUUGUAACCACUUUCACUUAAUCAAUGUUGGUGCCACGUUUUAUUAAUCUUUAUUGUAGGAAUUAAUAAAGGUUGCCUAAGCACAAACGCAGUUACAUAAAUACCCUUACUAUGACAUAUAUCACACAUGUGUAAGUUGAGUGCCACUUACAGAAAGUAAGACAGGAAAAUAUACCAAAUGAUCCAAAUUACAAUAUAAGAUGCUCAUGUUUGUGGCUGACAAAUAAGAGAUUACUAACAAUAGAAUGUGUUUUUUUGCAACUGAAAACCUGUACAGCGUACUAUACUGCCAUGAGUGCAUGUCCAAUGGUGCAUAUCAAAAAGAAAAAUAUUAUAAGGAAUUCAAUUAUGUUCGGUUAAGUUUCCCAGAAAACCACAGCAUGUUUAAGCUUUCACUCUAUGUAGCAAUCACCAUUUAUCAGUCCAGUACAUGCACACAUAUUUUGCUUGCAUCGCUCAUUUAUUGAGUCUCUGAGGUAUUUGGUUGCACAUUGAUGAUUUACCCAUAAAAUAAUGAAACAAGAAAACUUUUAAUAUUUCAUAUUAAGGGGGUAAAAAGUAAUCCGUACAAAUAAUCUGUCUUUUUAUUCUAACUCCAACUGGAGUCCAAGUUGAGCCCUGUUUUUAUAGAGAUUUCAAAUAGAAACUGAGCCAUCGCACUUCAAUACAAACACAUUUUACAGUGUAUUUUAAACCAGAUUAUUAUGAGAUAAAGUUAUACAACUUUUAAAAAUGACAUUCUCACACAGGCUCCAAAAUAUUGCCUUUACCUCAACAUAUGUGUUUAAACUAUAGAUGUUGUUUUGCACAUUAACACAUUUCUAAUAUAGUGGAGAGCAUGUGAAUAUAAUGGAAAUGAAGGAAAACAUAUGAAGCUCACUUUAAAAAGAUGGUAUGUGGGAAUGUGGGGCUGUUGUAAUAGAAAUAUGGCAUGGUGAUUGUAUGGUUAAAUUGGAAAUGUAUUGGUAGCGUAUUUAUUUUGUCAUUUAUUUGUUUGGAGCACUUUAAAUGUUAAAAAAUAUAUAUUAUCUUAAGAUCACUAUUUAAUGUCCAUUUUUACAUGUUGCAGCAUGUGAGCUUUGUUAAUCUCUGAAUGUCUUAUCAUGUUUAAACUAUGUUGUGAAGACAGGCCAGCUGCCACAGAGCGAUGUCUCUAUGAUACCUGGAAUGUCCAAAGUUGGUUCGCUGUAUCAUCCAGAUGCUGGAGAGUGGUUUGGGUCUUCCAAACCCGGUGGCUCGGCCAGUCCUGGUUUCUGACGUCUUAAAAAAAAAGCCUCUGUGUUUAGGCUAAUUACUUAACUAGGGUAUUUUUUCAUGGUUUGUAAUAUUUAGAGUUUAUAAUUACAGGUGAUGUAUUAUGUGAUCAAUACCAACACAAUCAUACAAUGAAGAACAACAAUAUUUUUUAAUUGGGAGAGCCUUAUCUGUCACAUUGCUUUCUGUGUGAUCAUGCAUGGUCAAGAUUUGUGUAGUUGACCCAUAAGGUGAUGACAGGUUACGAUUUGGGGCAAAUUUAGUGACCUGGAAGGUUUUGUUGGCAAUAUGAAUUCUUACUGUUGAUUGUAAAUACUGUAUUUCUCAAUCAGAAACAAUUAAACUUACAGAAAUGUCAAAACUGCAUCAAGUACUAGACAGAUUAACCAUCAUGCAUUAUGUUUAACAUCUCUGGCUAUGAAUUUGCCCUGAAUAGUUGCUCUUCUAUCACUUUAAAUGUUAGUGAACACCAAACUGAUGCUUGCACUGUGCUGCCUCUGAACAAGCAGCUGUCAUUACAUUAUUUAUUUUAAAUAAAGAUGAUUUAUGAAAAUGUCAA